AACGAACGCUGGCGGCAUGCCUAACACAUGCAAGUCGAACGAGACCCUCCGGGCUAGUGGCGCACGGGUGCGUAACGCGCGGGAAAAUGCCCUCAGGGUCGCAAUAUAACCCCGAAAACCGUCCUAAAAUACCGUAAUGUCUUGGGACCACAGAUUUAUAGCCUGUGGAUGGGCCCGCGUUGGAUUAGCUAGUUGGUAGGGUAAAAGCCUACCAAGGCGACGAUCCAUAGAUGGUCUGGGAGGAUGAUCAGCCACACUGGGACUGAGACACGGCCCAGACUCCUACGGGAGGCAGCAGUGGGGAAUAUUGGGCAAUGGGCGAAAGCCUGAUCCAGCAAUGCCGCGUGAGUGAUGAAGGCCUUAGGGUUGUAAAGCUCUUUUACCCGGGAUGAUAAUGACAGUACCGGGAGAAUAAGCUCCGGCUAACUCCGUG
This 433-nucleotide ribosomal RNA is filed under the name uncultured bacterium. Its description in RNAcentral is "partial 16S ribosomal RNA". It matches the Rfam family "Bacterial small subunit ribosomal RNA", at positions 29 to 507 of the family's 1533-position model. The record is from RNAcentral.